Long non-coding RNA from Telopea speciosissima, 138 nucleotides. RefSeq lists it as uncharacterized. The record is from RefSeq and is a predicted model, not a curated record. The transcript has 4 exons. Lineage: Eukaryota; Viridiplantae; Streptophyta; Magnoliopsida; Proteales; Proteaceae.
CCUUGUGAAGGAUUCAGCCUUGUUGUCGUUCUUAGGAAUCUUCCCAUUGAGUUGUUGGUUUUUGGAGAAAUUUUCGGUUCUUGUGUUUGCCAUGGAAGGCAUCUUCAGCCUAUAUGGCUUUAUUAUGUGUAGUUUGUG